GUGAACGCUGGCGGCGUGCUUAACACAUGCAAGUCGAACGGACUUAAGGGGCUUGCUUCUUAAGUUAGUGGCGCACGGGUGAGUAAUAUAUAGCUAACCUGCCCUUUAGUGGGGGACAACAGUUGGAAACGACUGCUAAUACCCUAUACUCCUUCUUACUAUAAGGUAAGUUGGGAAAGAUUUAUCGCUAAAGGAUGGGGCUUUAUUGUAUCAGCUAGUUGGUGGGGUAAUGGCCUACCAAGGCUAUGACGCAUACCUGGUCUGAGAGGAUGAUCAGGCACACUGGAACUGAGACACGGUCCAGACUCCUACGGGAGGCGGCAGUGGGGAAUAUUGCACAAUGGAGGAAACUCUGAUGCAGCAACGCCGCGUGGAGGAUGACGCAUUUCGGUGUGUAAACUCCUUUUAUAGGGGAAGAUAAUGACGGUACCCUAUGAAUAAGCACCGGCUAACUCCGUGCCAGCAGCCGCGGUAAUACGGAGGGUGCAAGCGUUACUCGGAAUCACUGGGCGUAAAGGAUGCGUAGGCUGGAAAUCAAGUCGAGAGUGAAAUCCAACGGCUCAACCGUUGAACUGCUCUCGAAACUGGUUACCUAGAAUAUGGGAGAGGUAGAUGGAAUUAGUGGUGUAGGGGUAAAAUCCGUAGAUAUCACUAGGAAUACCGAUUGCGAAGGCGAUCUACUGGAACAUUAUGACGCUGAGGCA
RNAcentral lists this ribosomal RNA (704 nucleotides) under uncultured bacterium. RNAcentral's name for it is "bacterial SSU rRNA". It matches the Rfam family "Bacterial small subunit ribosomal RNA", at positions 29 to 753 of the family's 1533-position model. The record is from RNAcentral.